Molecule: long non-coding RNA, 1022 nt
Organism: Brachypodium distachyon (stiff brome)
Lineage: Eukaryota; Viridiplantae; Streptophyta; Magnoliopsida; Poales; Poaceae
Exons: 4
Source: RefSeq, a predicted model, not a curated record
AUGGAGCUCCUAGCUAGCCCUGCGCCGCCGCCACCACACCUACAACUCCAGUACUCUCCGCCUUCCUCGACCAAUCCUACCCCCGGCCUCCUUCAUCCCAGGCCAGAUCCGCCCGCCUCCAUCACCGCAGAGCUUCACGGCGCCGCGGCAAGAAUUUCCCUCCUGGGCUUCGCCGCCGCAGUAUUUCCGAUGAACUGAGUGCCAGGGUGCGCCUCCUAGCCUGCAGGGGCGCCGCUGAGGGGGACGACGCGAUCGAUGCUCCAUCACCGGCCUCUAUAUAUUGAGUCUUCACAGCGGGCGCCAGAUCUAGGGCUUCAAUUUGCCAUUUCGCCCUGCUCCCCGCAUACAUGGGCCGGUGGCAAAUCUGUCCUGAGCUAUCCAGUCAAUCUGUCUUUGGAGGCAUUCUUGUCCAUUAACUGACAAUGCAACGGUACUACUAUGUGUACUACAAAGAGCCUUAAUUUCAUUGGGUUGAUUCAGAAGCAAUGGUUUGCUGGGCAGCCAAGGAUGAGAUGACUCGCCCCCCAAAUAGGCGUUAAUAUGAAAACAAAAGGCACUGUUCUCAAUCAACUUCUGCAAGCAGUAUGAUGGAGCGGGUGUUAUAUAUUUGCAUACCUGAACAGGUAUUGUGGUGGGAAAGGUUGCAAAGAUAGAUACCAUCCCCCUUCUACAGAUCCUUCCUAGCUAGGAAUAUUUGGAUGCGAUAGAGUCCGUGUGGGAUGUCAAGGAGAUUGAGGGUAAGAAGAAAAAAAACCUCCAUUUAUCGGUUCUUUGUUAUUCCUUGGAAUGCAGAACAGCAAGCAAUAUCUUGUUAAGUAUAGGAAUCGGGCCCAUGUCCAUAAUCAUUGCGGUUAGAGAAGGCAUAUUACCGACACCCCUGGAAGUCCUGAUCUUAUUUCCUUCUUUAAUAAGAGGAACCAUACUAAAAAGGUUAUCACUUUUUGUGGUGAACUCUACUUCUUUAUGCCUGUUAGGGAUUUUUCAGGCUUUGCAAAAGACCUUUGCUAAUGCUUCUUUUCACA